Molecule: ribosomal RNA, 464 nt
Filed under: Vreelandella stevensii
Lineage: Bacteria; Pseudomonadati; Pseudomonadota; Gammaproteobacteria; Oceanospirillales; Halomonadaceae
Description: partial 16S ribosomal RNA
Rfam family: Bacterial small subunit ribosomal RNA
Source: RNAcentral
CUACGGGGCGCUGCAGUGGGGAAUAUUGGACAAUGGGCGAAAGCCUGAUCCAGCCAUGCCGCGUGUGUGAAGAAGGCCUUCGGGUUGUAAAGCACUUUCAGUGGGGAAGAAAGCCUUGGGGCUAAUACCCUCGAGGAAGGACAUCACCCACAGAAGAAGCACCGGCUAACUCCGUGCCAGCAGCCGCGGUAAUACGGAGGGUGCGAGCGUUAAUCGGAAUUACUGGGCGUAAAGCGCGCGUAGGCGGUCUGAUAAGCCGGUUGUGAAAGCCCCGGGCUCAACCUGGGAACGGCAUCCGGAACUGUCAGGCUAGAGUGCAGGAGAGGAAGGUAGAAUUCCCGGUGUAGCGGUGAAAUGCGUAGAGAUCGGGAGGAAUACCAGUGGCGAAGGCGGCCUUCUGGACUGACACUGACGCUGAGGUGCGAAAGCGUGGGUAGCAAACAGGAUUAGAUACCCGAGUAGUC